AUUGAACGCUGGCGGCAUGCUUUACACAUGCAAGUCGAACGGCAGCACGAAAGAGCUUGCUCUUUUGGUGGCGAGUGGCGAACGGGUGAGUAAUGCAUCGGAACGUACCGAGUAUGGGGGAUAACUAUCCGAAAGGAUAGCUAAUACCGCAUACGCUUUGAGAAGGAAAGUGGGGGCUCUUCGGACCUCACGUUAUUCGAGCGGCCGAUGUCUGAUUAGCUAGUUGGUGGGGUAAAGGCCUACCAAGGCGACGAUCAGUAGCGGGUCUGAGAGGAUGAUCCGCCACACUGGGACUGAGACACGGCCCAGACUCCUACGGGAGGCAGCAGUGGGGAAUUUUGGACAAUGGGCGCAAGCCUGAUCCAGCCAUGCCGCGUGUCUGAAGAAGGCCUUCGGGUUGUAAAGGACUUUUGUUAGGGAAGAAAAGGAUAGUGUUAAUACC
This 442-nucleotide ribosomal RNA is filed under the name Kingella oralis. RNAcentral describes it as "bacterial SSU rRNA". It matches the Rfam family "Bacterial small subunit ribosomal RNA", at positions 30 to 467 of the family's 1533-position model. Lineage: Bacteria; Pseudomonadati; Pseudomonadota; Betaproteobacteria; Neisseriales; Neisseriaceae. The record is from RNAcentral.